Long non-coding RNA from Mizuhopecten yessoensis (Yesso scallop), 453 nucleotides. RefSeq lists it as uncharacterized. The transcript is spliced from 2 exons. The record is from RefSeq and is a predicted model, not a curated record. Lineage: Eukaryota; Metazoa; Mollusca; Bivalvia; Pectinida; Pectinidae.
AACAGCUUUGGGUGGUGAGGCAGCAGCAGAGCCCCUAAGUGAAGAACUUCAGCGUAUCAAAAAAGAGAAUCGAGAAAUGAGGGAGAGAACGGUGUGUAAGAUUUGUUUGGAAGACCAAGUCUCCAUAGCGUUUAUCCCCUGUGGUCAUUUAGUGGCCUGCGGACAUUGUGCUCAUGCCAUAACAAGGUGUGCUGUGUGUAGAAAACCAAUCACCAGUAAAAUCCUCACUCACAUGGACGUGUAAGCUUCAGUAAUCAUGUGGUCAAGGUAUAUUUCUAAUUCAUUUCAAUUCCUUUUAUUUCCAUGUUUGCCUCAAAGACUUUAAUCUCGCUAUAUGUAUUUAUUGUACAUUAUUUUUGAAAUUUUGGUGCGGUUACGGUUUAUGAAUAACCAGUAUGGAUGCUGGAGAAAUAUAGCCUCAUUUUCAGCAUUAAAGUACAAUGUACAUCAUAA